AGUGAACGCUGGCGGCAUGCCUAACACAUGCCAGUCGAACGGUAGCACAGUAAGAGCUUGCUCUUACUGGUGGCGAGUGGCGGACGGGAGAGGAAUACAUCGGAAUCUACUUUUUCGUGGGGGAUAAGGUAGGGAAACUUACGCUAAUACCUCAUACGACCUACGGGUGAAAGCAGGGGAUCUUCGGACCUUGCGCGAUUGAAUGAGCCGAUGUCGGAUUAGCUAGUUGGCGGGGUAAAGGCCCACCAAGGCGACGAUCCGUAGCUGGUCUGAGAGGAUGAUCAGCCACACUGGAACUGAGACACGGUCCAGACUCCUACGGGAGGCAGCAGUGGGGAAUAUUGGACAAUGGGCGCAAGCCUGAUCCAGCAAUACCGCGUGGGUGAAGAAGGCCUUCGGGUUGUAAAGCCCUUUUGUUGGGAAAGAAAAGCAGCAGGUUAAUACCUCGCUGUUAUGACGGUACCCAAAGAAUAAGCACCGGCUAACUUCGUG
RNAcentral lists this ribosomal RNA (492 nucleotides) under uncultured bacterium. RNAcentral's name for it is "partial 16S ribosomal RNA". It matches the Rfam family "Bacterial small subunit ribosomal RNA", at positions 29 to 507 of the family's 1533-position model. The record is from RNAcentral.